RNAcentral lists this microRNA (21 nucleotides) under Aegilops tauschii. Its description in RNAcentral is "ata-miR6201-3p". Lineage: Eukaryota; Viridiplantae; Streptophyta; Magnoliopsida; Poales; Poaceae. The record is from miRBase by way of RNAcentral.
GUACGAGUGUCUCAGGGCCAA